CCUACGGGGGGCUGCAGUGGGGAAUAUUGGACAAUGGGGGCAACCCUGAUCCAGCCAUGCCGCGUGUGUGAAGAAGGCCCUCGGGUUGUAAAGCACUUUCAGUGAGGAAGAACGCCUGGUGGUUAAUACCCAUCAGGAAAGACAUCACUCACAGAAGAAGCACCGGCUAACUCCGUGCCAGCAGCCGCGGUAAUACGGAGGGUGCGAGUGUUAAUCGGAAUUACUGGGCGUAAAGCGCGCGUAGGUGGCUUGAUAAGCCGGUUGUGAAAGCCCCGGGCUCAACCUGGGAACGGCAUCCGGAACUGUCAAGCUAGAGUGCAGGAGAGGAAGGUAGAAUUCCCGGUGUAGCGGUGAAAUGCGUAGAGAUCGGGAGGAAUACCAGUGGCGAAGGCGGCCUUCUGGACUGACACUGACACUGAGGUGCGAAAGCGUGGGUAGCAAACAGGAUUAGAUACCCGUGUAGUC
This 465-nucleotide ribosomal RNA is filed under the name Vreelandella stevensii. RNAcentral's name for it is "partial 16S ribosomal RNA". It matches the Rfam family "Bacterial small subunit ribosomal RNA", at positions 338 to 795 of the family's 1533-position model. The record is from RNAcentral. Lineage: Bacteria; Pseudomonadati; Pseudomonadota; Gammaproteobacteria; Oceanospirillales; Halomonadaceae.